GAUGAACGCUGGCGGCGUGCCUAAUACAUGCAAGUCGAGCGAACAGAUGAGGAGCUUGCUCCUCUGACGUUAGCGGCGGACGGGUGAGUAACACGUGGAUAACCUACCUAUAAGACUGGGAUAACUUCGGGAAACCGGAGCUAAUACCGGAUAAUAUAUUGAACCGCAUGGUUCAAUAGUGAAAGACGGUUUUGCUGUCACUUAUAGAUGGAUCCGCGCCGCAUUAGCUAGUUGGUAAGGUAACGGCUUACCAAGGCAACGAUGCGUAGCCGAACUGAGAAGGGGAUCGGGCACAACGGGAAUUAGAAAAGGUGCAAAAUCCCAAGGGAGGCAGCAGUAGGGAAUCUUAAGAGAGUGGCGAAAGCCUGAAGGAGCAACGGCGGGUAAGUGAAGAAGGUUUUCGGAUUGUAAAAAUCUGUUAAUAAGGAAGAACAAAUGUGUAAGUAACUAUGCACGUCUUGACGGUACCUAAUCAGAAAGCCACGGCUAACUACGUG
RNAcentral lists this ribosomal RNA (497 nucleotides) under uncultured bacterium. RNAcentral's name for it is "partial 16S ribosomal RNA". It matches the Rfam family "Bacterial small subunit ribosomal RNA", at positions 28 to 507 of the family's 1533-position model. The record is from RNAcentral.